This 484-nucleotide ribosomal RNA is filed under the name uncultured bacterium. RNAcentral's name for it is "partial 16S ribosomal RNA". It matches the Rfam family "Bacterial small subunit ribosomal RNA", at positions 30 to 507 of the family's 1533-position model. The record is from RNAcentral.
AUUGAACGCUGGCGGCAGGCCUAACACAUGCGAGUCGAGCGGAUGAAGGGAGCUUGCUCCUGGAUUCAGCGGCGGACGGGUGAGUAAUGCCUAGGAAUCUGCCUGGUAGUGGGGGAUAACGUCCGGAAACGGGCGCUAAUACCGCAUACGUCCUGAGGGAGAAAGUGGGGGAUCUUCGGACCUCACGCUAUCAGAUGAGCCUAGGUCGGAUUAGCUAGUUGGUGGGGUAAAGGCCUACCAAGGCGACGAUCCGUAACUGGUCUGAGAGGAUGAUCAGUCACACUGGAACUGAGACACGGUCCAGACUCCUACGGGAGGCAGCAGUGGGGAAUAUUGGACAAUGGGCGAAAGCCUGAUCCAGCCAUGCCGCGUGUGUGAAGAAGGUCUUCGGAUUGUAAAGCACUUUAAGUUGGGAGGAAGGGCAGUAAGUUAAUACCUCGCUGUUUUGACGUUACCAACAGAAUAAGCACCGGCUAACUUCGUG